GGGCUCGCGCUGCCCAUCGCAUUUGUCGCAUUUUGCGAUUUUUCAGAAAAAAAUGCGACAGAAAUUCCGGAAAUGCGACACGGACAUUUCGUAUUUUAGUAUUCGCGCGCCAUUUUGAAUUUCAGCUGUUGGCAUCCAAACAGCCUCAGGGCUGUUUUACCUGUGCAGAAUGUGGAUACCCUGUCGCGUGGUAACAAUAAGACUUAGGGGCGUCUUGUUUAUUUAGCAGUUUACACAAAACAAUGGGUUGAUCCUCUAUGUGCAGACUUCAUGAAGUCCCUUCUCCUCUACAUGAUGAGAUUCACCAAAGGACCACUUUGUAAUUCUGGAUUUCAAGAUGAAAACAGUAUUCUUCAGUGAAAAUGUGAUAUGAAACUAUGAUCACGUGUAAUGUAUUACAGUAAUUAAUUUUCAGUAACUUUGUCAUCAGUGACUUUUUCUAGACUGCAAAUUUAAUGAGUAAUAUAUGUCAUUUACACUACUAAAAUGAUUAAUAAACAUUUAGAAACUCA
Molecule: long non-coding RNA, 512 nt
Organism: Ostrea edulis (European flat oyster)
Lineage: Eukaryota; Metazoa; Mollusca; Bivalvia; Ostreida; Ostreidae
Exons: 2
Source: RefSeq, a predicted model, not a curated record